CCUGAGAACUUCCAUAUGCUGCAAAUGUGGCCCUAAAAAGACAAAAAAAAAAAAAAAGAUAAAAUUGUUAAGAACUUUAAGACAGUGAUCACAGAGCAUUAAACCCCAAGCAGUGUCCUUGUGACCAUGGGGCCUUGUGAUACUUAGUUCUAUAUGUGUCAAGCCUCUCCGCACCAGCACCAGUCUCCAAGGGGGCAGAGGGCAGCAGUGGUCCCUGGGCUGGGCAGAGAGAAGCCUAAAGGUGCCCAGAUAUUUGAUCAAACAUUAUUCUGAGUGUUAGCGUGAGCACGUUUGGGGGUUGAAAUUAGCAUUUAAAUGCGUAGACCGAGUCAAGGUGAUUGCCCUCUCUAAACAUAAACGAGCUUUAUCCAAUCAAAGAGAACAAAAAGGCUGACCCUCCUCUGAGUCAAAGAGGAUUCCUCCUGCCUGAAGGCCUUCAAAGUGGAGCCUGGCUCUUCCAGGUCUCCAGCUUGCCAGCCCACCCCAUAGACCUUGGGACUGAGGCUCCCUAAAAGCAUGAGCCCCUUCCAUAUAUUAUCCUAUUGGCUGUAUUUCUGGGGGGAGCCCUGACUAAUACAGGCCCUCUGUGGCUGAGCACUCCCCUGUAAAGCCUGCCCUGGGCAUCUCUUGCACCCUUUCUUUUCUUUCACUUCCCACCUUUGCCUGGUGAGCCCAGAACUUUGUCUCAUGUGAGCCCUGUGCCAGAGCUCCCAGCCAGGGCACUUCCCUAUCAGAGUCUCACAAAUAAAAUCAAUCCUUGCCGCUCUUUUCAAAGAAACAUCCCAUGGUUCUCCCUUAAAGUAAACUUCCUUCAUUACAUGCACAACCCUUUGGGAUCUACCUCAACGUAAAUUUUACCUCCGUGUCAGCCCCUGUCCUCAUCAAUUUUAUUUCCUUCAUACUUACUCAUGGUACAGUGGUCAUGUCCACCACAGUACAUUGCCCACAUUUCUCUUCAAGCCUGAAAUGAAACCUACCACCCUCGAAGGCCCGGGUUAAGCUUUUCUUCUUUCAUAUGGUGCAUGAGAAAUCUACUGAAUGCCAGUUUACAUGGGACUAGCCUUCUUGCAUUUCCUGUACUUGACCCCUGCCCUCACUUGUAUGUAAGCACCCCUUGUACCUACUGGCAUUCAGCUUUGUUAUGUAUUUUCCCUACAAGUGAUGACAAGUUAUUCAUAGAUGCUGUGCUUCAUGGAUCAUCUUUCCUAGGAUGCUAUCAUGUUCCUAUUAGGAGGUCAAGGAAUAUUCUUGAAAGAAUGCAUGGGUAAAUUAACUGUUGCUCAUUGUAGUAGGUGGAAUGGUGCCUCCCCAAAAGAUACAGCCACACCCCAAUACCUGCAGCUUGUGAAGGUGACCUUAUUUGGAAAAUGGUUUUUUUGUAAAUGUAAUUAAGUUAAGGAUAUUGAGAUAAGAUCCAUACUGGAUUAUCCAGUGAGCCCUAAGUCCAAAUUCAAGUUUGUUUUGUGUGUUUGCUUGUUUCUUUUUAGGGCCACACCAGUGGCAUAUGGAGGUUCCCAGACUUGGGGUAAAAUCGGAGCUGUAGCCAGCCUAUGCCACAGCCACAGCAACAUGGGAUCCAGGCUGCAUCUGCAACCUAUGCCACAGCUCAAGGCAAUGCUGGAUCCUUAACCCACUGAGCAAGGCCAGGGAUCGAACCUGCAUCUUCAUGGACGCUAGUCAGAUUAGUUUCCCCUGAGCCAUGAUAGGAACUCCCAAAGUCAAGUGUUUUUAUAAGACACAAAAGUGGAGAAGGGGAAAAGAACGGGUAAAGAUAGAAGAUAGACACACUUAUUGGAGAGAUGCAUUCACAAACCAUGGAACACUUGGGGCCACGGGAAGCUGGAAGAAGAAAGGAAGAAUUAUCCCCUAGCUCCUCCAGAGGGAGCACAGCCCUGUCAACCCCUUGACUUCAGGAUUCUACCCUCCAGAACCAGGAGAGAAUGAAUUUCUGCUGUUUAAGCUACCUGGGUUUUGGUGAUGUGCUAUGGGCAACCCUAGGAAACUAACACAUUCAUCUUUCCCUGAGGCUCUUUGUACAAUUAGUCUACAUUAUGUCUGCAUAUAAUAGUAGAACCAUUUUUAUCUUAAAAGCUAAAGAGACAAUUGCCCUAGGCUCUUUGCAUAAUGUGUACUUUUUGAAUCUUUAAAAUGACAAGUACAAAAUUCCUCAAGCUCUUUCAAAAACUGGCAUUUAAAUUACAUGAUUUUUCAAGAAUGCUGUCUUUCUCUAAUAGUCAAAAGCACCUCAUGUGUAUCCCAAAACCUUUUAUUUUGAGAUCAUUAGAGAUUCACAUGCAGUCAUAAGAAGUAAAAGAGAGAGCGGGUGUGCCCUCUAUCCAGUUGGUAAAAUCAAAUGGUAACAUCUUACAAAAUUAUACUACAGUGUCAUAACCAGUAUGUUGGCAUGGACACUAUCCAAUGAUCUUACUCAUAUUUCCCCAAAUUUAAUUGUACUUAUAUGUGUGAGUGUGUAUGAGUGUGUGUGUGUGUGUUUAGUUUAUGUAAUUUGAUCACCUGUGUGGGUUCAUGUAUCCACCACCAUCAAGAAGCAAAACUAUUCUACUGCCACAAGGAUGCCUCAAAUUGCCCUUUUAUGGCACCCUCCUUAUGUCGCCAUCCCUACCUAUCCUUGAGGAUAACAAAUUGGUGAAUCUUAAAGGAAUUAUGCUGAGUGAAAAGGCCAAUCCCGAGUGGUUACAUACCACAUGAAUCCACUUACAUAACAUUCUUGAAAUGAUAAAAUCACAGAGAUAGAUAACAAGUUAGUGGUUGCCAUACGGUGUGUAUUCUCUUGAAAGUAAAGUAUAUUUAAAUUUUUUCGGGGAACUCAAAGUCCUAUAUAGCAAAUUAAUUUUCUCAUCCAAUAAAUAUUUGAGGAAAUCCUUUGUGUGCCUGACUUACUUUGAUAUUGGGAAUACUCAACCCCUGCCUCAGGAAAGGCACUGAUAUGCCAAAUCAGAAGCUUCUACAAUGGAAUUCUAUGUUAUGCCCUUUGAUGCGGAAAUGACAGGCUCCUGGGGAGCAUAUAACUGAACAACGACAACCAAAAAAAAACCCCAAAAAACCACCUAUUGAUGGACAUAAUAAAUAAUUUGGAGUUCCUGUCAUGGCUCAGUGAUUAAGAAACCCGAGUAGUAUCCGUGAGGAUGUGGAUUUGAUCUCUGGUCUUGAUCAGUGGGUUGAGAAUCCAGCAUUGCCUUGAGCUGUGGUGUAGGUCAAAGAUGCGGCUCGGAUCUGGCAUUGCUGUGGCUGGCGUAGGCCGGUGGCUACAGCUCUGAUUAGACCCCCAGCCUGGGAACUCCCCUAAUGCUGUGGGUGUGGCCCUAAAAAGACAAAAGACAAAUAAAAUAAAUAAAUAAAAAAUAAUCUAUAAUAGGAAGAGAAAAAAGACUUUUAUUUAAGUCAAACUGAGGGCUAUAGCCCAGGAGACACAGAUUCAAGAAGCACUUGAAUUGUGUUCCAUCAGAUUAAAUAAUGAGGAAGGCUUAAUAAAGGUAAAAAUUAUAAGGUUACAGUUAGUUACAUGAGUUACUGUUGGAGUUGGCAAGAAGUAAGGGUGUUUAUUAAGUAAGGAUGGUUUGGGGUCUGAGAUGGAAGACCUUGACACCAUAAAGUUGCAGCUGGCAGCUGCUAGCAGGUAUUAUUUUGAGAACAGCUGGUGGUAUUCUUGGGUUUGACACAGUUCAGCAAAUUCAAGUUCUCACUGAUUUAGGAACUUGUCAAAAGCUACAUCCACAGUGGGCACCUAGCUCCACUUUGAAUGUAUGAAUUGCAGUUAACUCCAUUUUGAUUUUUAAACUCAUUCUCUUCUUGAAUGGUUAAAGCAAACAUACAAUGUGUGUUUGACAGACCCUAAGACAGGCUAUUCUUGGUAGCAUAAAACUCAAACCAAAUCAUGUAUAAGCCAGAAUGACUUCCUCAUAUUUCAAUAUGUGGCAAUUUCUACCAUCAAAACAAAAAACAAAAACAGACAGAAACGAUCAACAGCUACAAUGGUGAUUACAUAAGAAAUGAGUUAAAGUUCUGUCUCCAAGAAAGAACUAGGAGAAACCGUGAGAGAAUUUGGCAGAUGAGUUAAGGAUUUGGGAGAGUAAGCAGUUUAGGUUAAGAUACAGAUACACAGUUAAUAAUAAGCCCUGUGGCCUCUGGAUCCCUGGGAGAGUGUAAAUGGACUGGAGAUGAGCUUGAUCCCCUAGAAGGUAUAUCAUCGGUGGUGGAGAGAUGACAGUUCUGCUGGGCUGGAUAGUGGCAAAGGGGCGAGAACCCAUGCAGACAGUGUCAGCUCCUAUGAAUCAGCACAAGCUGGACGUGAAUCAGUAGUACAGAAAAACAUUCAACGACAGAGCCCUGCAAAGAUGAGUCCCAAGAGUUUUAGGGGCAAAGUAAGGCCCUGCAAAGUUCUGGGAAACCAGCAGUCUGAAGUGAUAAGCAAAUAUCAAAGUUUUGCAUGCAGAUCUGGGAGACAGUGGGGGAGGGGCAUUUACCCGUUCUCUAAAUGCAAAUGAAUUUUAUCUCCUAUACUAAAAACUAUACUAAAUGUUUUCCACUGCUAAAGAAAACAACAACAACAACAUCCAAACCUUGUCAGGGAAUUGUUGUUUUCAUUUAUGGGGUGGAAACUGGCUGGGACAGAGGAAGCAACUUGCCUAAGGUCACUUAGCAGCUAGUGGUAGAUGGAGCCAAGAUCUAAAUUCAUCUGUCUGACUCCAAGUCCAAACCAACUCUCCCAUCCCAGGCUUUUCAAGGAGGUAAACAAUGACGGGGUCAGGGAGGGGUAUCCUGGAGGCACAAAAGAGAAGGGAAUUUCGGAAGGUGACAUUCCUUUGAAAUCUAUAGAAUCUGAAGGUUAAAUUCUCCACUCCUGGCUUUGUAGUGAAGUGAGCAAUUUUCACGGCUUUUGCUUCCUGAAUAGAGAUGGAAAUUUUGACUAUUGGAUAGAACUCUACAAAAUACCAGAUGCUAUAUUUGAGCAGAACUUCUCUGGGUAAAUAAAUUACACUUAAAAACAUGUACCAAACCUCAGUGAGGCUACAGCAGUUUUACAAGAAACAUUUCAAAGUAAAAG
Molecule: long non-coding RNA, 5065 nt
Filed under: Sus scrofa (pig)
Lineage: Eukaryota; Metazoa; Chordata; Mammalia; Artiodactyla; Suidae
Description: lncRNA (ENSSSCG00000054494.1, ENSSSCG00180030804.1)
Source: RNAcentral